GAUCCUUCUGUGAAGCAACACACCAUUUAACCUCUUGGCAUCACUUCAUGUGAAACGGUAUCACAAUGACGACUAAAGUUUUCACCAAACUUCUACUUUCUUCUCUGUGGAUUCAAGUUCGCUGCCAGGAUGUCACCCAGUUCCCUUCCAUCAGCUGGAAUCGUCAGUCCACAUCUGCAGAGAUGAACUGCAGCCACAACAAGGAUGCUUCUCAUUCCCAGAUGUACUGGUACCGGCAGCGUCCAGGAGAGACCAUGACCCUCAUCGUGUACACAGCUUCGGGAUUAAGUCCAGAAUACGGAGGGAGCUCCCAAACCAAAUAUUCAGCCAUCAAAGACAGCUUUGAAAAGGGGGCUCUUUCUGUCAAAGACCUGCAGCCUGAUGACAGCGGUGUGUAUUUCUGUGCUGUCAGCAAACACAGUGAUGUGAGGACUGGAAACAGCUGA
Molecule: non-coding RNA, 446 nt
Organism: Melanotaenia boesemani (Boeseman's rainbowfish)
Lineage: Eukaryota; Metazoa; Chordata; Actinopteri; Atheriniformes; Melanotaeniidae
Source: the annotation of a RefSeq genome assembly